AACUAUGCUUAAAUUAAGCAAUAAAACACUGCAAGUUGCAAGUUGUAACGUAUUAGCAUACACCACACUGCAAGGAAGAACUCCACAACAGGAAACAGCUUCAAAGUAUAUUUGUACCAGUACUGCUGAGAGUAUCUUCACAACGGUGACUUUACACAACUUGAGUCACACGACCAACUAUUCCACACUGAAUAUAACAGAACAGGACUAAACAUCAAAUGAGGCAACGUCCACGGGGUCCUGUUACAAAUGUGACCAUUAGUAAGCCUUUAGGUUCCAGUUCCUUCGUCCUCUGAGGGACAACCUGAGUUAAUGAGAGAGCACAAAGGAUACAAGAGCUGGCAGUCUUACUUGCUAUGUCUUUGGGGAAUACAAAGUCUGCAGAUGUGGUUGGGACAUAUCAAAGAGAGAAACAUCCACAGAUUCAUCAACCAAAGCUGAAUAAGUCACUUGAGGGCAUGCACACUUACUGUAACUAACUAUAGCUGCACCUGAAGUGUAAUGGAACCUCCUUGAAGAAGAAACAUUAUAUUAACAUUCCUAGUAAGUGUGGCCAAAGGCACGAGAAAGGCCUGUUGAAGUGAGGUGGGGGCUGGUAUCUCCUUCCAAGUAACAAGCAAUAGGGCAAGAGGAAGAGGCCUCAAGAUGUACCAGGGGAGGUUUAGAUUUGAUGUUAGGAAAAAUUUCUUCACAGAAAGGAUUGUCAAGCAUUGGAACAGGCUGCUCAGGGAAGUUAUUCACUUCCUAUCCCUAGAGGCAUUUAAAAGAACUGUGGUAGACACGGAACUCAGGCAUGUGGUUCACUGGUGGAUUUAGCAGUGUUAGAUUUACAACUGGACUCUAUGAUCUUAAACACCUUUCCCAGCCUGAAUGAGUCUGUGAUUUGAUGCUCCUAAAUUCUCAGAACUAUAUUCAGAAAAGUCUGAAGGACAGGUCUAGGAAAAACCCUCCCACUGCCGGCAUAAGCUCUUCCUUCUUCGCUCCCUGUUGCACAGAUACCUGCAAGCAGCUCGUUCCCACACGGGUUUACAUUUCCUGCCAUCUAUACAGAUCCUUCUGCACAGAGCUGCAAACACCAAGACUGUGCUCCUUCCUGUGGCAAUGAUUCUUCUGGUACAUGUGAAUAAACCUGACUCUACAGAUAGAUAUCAACUGCAGAGAGAUGUAAACAGAAAAAGAGGCUUCUUUCCUCCUAAUGAAUUUAGAGACUUCUUCUGACCUCAGUCAGCAUAACUUUCUUGGAUGUAAAAGAGUUUUUCAAGCUGAUGAAUUCACUGUGUGAUUUUUCUGGAAAUAUGGAAAUCUCAUUUUCUCUGGUGCUGAUGGGAAGAGGACAUCACCUGCUUACCAGCCUGGCAGUAAUGUGGAUGUCACACCAGCCUCAUCAAGCCAGCUUCAACUGAGCCAUCACCUUCAUCUCUCCUGUGACAAGGCAGUUCCACUGUUAAGAAGAUGCACUUACAGAGACUUUUCUCACAGAGAGAGUGGCUACAUUUUCAAACUCACUGCCAAGGAUCAGUGGCCCUCCAUCUCCAUCACUCACAGAAACGCAUCCAAAGCAUUAUUUCAUCUUAAUUUUCCCACAAAAGACCCUCUUAGGUACGUCAGGACUCUCACCCAUAUUCAGAAAGGCCCAGCAGUAAGUUUUAAGUGCACUCCUGUCACGAGAGCUUCAAGGGGAAAGAUUUGUGCAUUUACUUCUAGAUACCACAGUUAUGGAUGAGCUUAGGCCACAUAAAGGAAUUAAAUGCAAUGCCCUAGGAGAAGUUAGAUGCUGUUUCUGACUGAAUGACUUCAAGAGUGUGUGCAAGUGUUCUAAUUUACGAGAAAAGUGAAAUAGGAAGCAUCUGAAUGUGUUCAGUAGCAUUUUUUUUUCUCAAAGCAUAAAGUUUUUAUUCUCUUGGUUUGAUCAUAUUUGACUUCUGGCACCAGCCUGUUCCUUCUAUAUGGUAUCAGGUAUGACUGCAAUAAAAGAAUUAAAAUUCUA
Long non-coding RNA from Pyrgilauda ruficollis (rufous-necked snowfinch), 1987 nucleotides. RefSeq lists it as uncharacterized. The transcript has 4 exons. Lineage: Eukaryota; Metazoa; Chordata; Aves; Passeriformes; Passeridae. The record is from RefSeq and is a predicted model, not a curated record.